Molecule: ribosomal RNA, 253 nt
Filed under: uncultured bacterium
Lineage: Bacteria
Description: partial 16S ribosomal RNA
Rfam family: Bacterial small subunit ribosomal RNA
Source: RNAcentral
UACGUAGGCGGCAAGCGUUGUCCGGAUUUAUUGGGUUUAAAGGGUGCGUAGGUGGCCCUGUAAGUCAGUGGUGAAAUAUCUCAGCUUAACUGAGAGGGUGCCAUUGAUACUGCAGGGCUUGAGUACAGAUGAGGUAGGCGGAAUUGACGGUGUAGCGGUGAAAUGCAUAGAUAUCGUCAAGAACACCGAUAGCGAAGGCAGCUUACCAAGCUGUAACUGACACUGAGGCACGAAAGUGUGGGGAUCAAACAGG